This 245-nucleotide ribosomal RNA is filed under the name uncultured bacterium. RNAcentral describes it as "partial 16S ribosomal RNA". It matches the Rfam family "Bacterial small subunit ribosomal RNA", at positions 524 to 765 of the family's 1533-position model. The record is from RNAcentral.
UACGGGAGGGGCAAGCGUUAUCCGUCAUGACUGGGCGUAAAGGGUCCGUAGACUGUGACGUAAGUUAUUUGUUAAAAUUUAAAGCUUAACUUUAAACCAGCGCUUAAUACUGCAUCACUUGAGUUUUAUUCAGAAGAGUAGAAUUUUUUAUAAUAGGGAUAAAAUCCGUUAGAAUAUAAAAAGGAACACCAGAAAGUGAAGACGACUCUUUAGUAAAAACUGACGUUGAGGGACGAAAGUGUAGG